AAGUAUAGUACCGAAGCUAAGGCAGUAGUUUACUACUGGGUAGGGGAGCAUUCUAUUCUGCGAAGAAGACGUCUGGUGAUGGAUGUUGGAGCGUAUAGAAAAGCAAAUGUAGGCAUAAGUAACGAUAAGGCGGGUGAGAAACCCGCCCACCGAUAGACUAAGGUUUCCUGAUCAACGCUAAUCGGAUCAGGGUUAGUCGGGACCUAAGGCGAAGCCGAAUGGUGUAGUCGAUGGACAAUGGGUUAAUAUUCCCAUACUUGUUGUAACUGCGAUGGGGUGACGGAGUAAUGAACAGACCGCGUACUGACGGAAUAGUACGUUAAAGGGUGUAGGUAUUGGUUGAGUAGGCAAAUCCGCUCGACUAGCUGAACCUGAUAGUACCACAAUGCUUCGGCAGCGUGGAUAGUGGACCUAAUCAGACUUCCAAGAAAAACCUCUAAGUAAUGUAUAUGGUACCCGUACCGCAAACCGACACAGGUAGUCAAGGAGAGAAUCCUAAGGUGCUCGAGUGAUUCAUGGCUAAGGAACUAGGCAAAAUGGUCUCGUAACUUCGGGAGAAGAGACGCCAACAGUAAUGUUGGCCGCAGUGAAUAGGCCCAGGCGACUGUUUAUCAAAAACACAUGGCUUUGCAAAAACGAAAGUUGACGUAUAAGGCCUGACACCUGCCCGGUGCUGGAAGGUUAAGAGGAGAUGUUAGAUUCGUCUAAGCAUUGAAUUGAAGCCCC
RNAcentral lists this ribosomal RNA (726 nucleotides) under uncultured Micromonas. RNAcentral's name for it is "partial Bacterial large subunit ribosomal RNA". It matches the Rfam family "Bacterial large subunit ribosomal RNA", at positions 1184 to 1921 of the family's 2925-position model. The record is from RNAcentral. Lineage: Eukaryota; Viridiplantae; Chlorophyta; Mamiellophyceae; Mamiellales.